GAUGAACGCUAGCGGCAGGCUUAACACAUGCAAGUCGAGGGGCAGCACGGGUAGCAAUAUCUGGUGGCGACCGGCGCAAGGGUGCGUAACGCGUGAGCAACAUGCCCGUAUCAGGGGGAUAAUCCAGGGAAACUUGGUCUAAUACCCCAUAGCAAUUAAAGGAGGCAUCUUUUUUAAUUUAAAGCUUUGGUGGAUACGGAUUGGCUCGCGUGACAUUAGCUAGAUGGUAAGGUAACGGCUUACCAUGGCUACGAUGUCUAGGGGUUCUGAGAGGAAGAUCCCCCACACUGGAACUGAGACACGGUCCAGACUCCUACGGGAGGCAGCAGUGAGGAAUAUUGGACAAUGGAUGGAAAUCUGAUCCAGCCAUGCCGCGUGCAGGAAGACGGCCCUAUGGGUUGUAAACUGCUUUUGAUGGGAGCAAUAAGGUCUAUGCGUAGACUGAUGAGAGUACCAUACGAAUAAGCAUCGGCUAACUCCGUG
RNAcentral lists this ribosomal RNA (483 nucleotides) under uncultured bacterium. RNAcentral's name for it is "bacterial SSU rRNA". It matches the Rfam family "Bacterial small subunit ribosomal RNA", at positions 28 to 507 of the family's 1533-position model. The record is from RNAcentral.